RNAcentral lists this ribosomal RNA (199 nucleotides) under uncultured bacterium. Its description in RNAcentral is "partial 16S ribosomal RNA". It matches the Rfam family "Bacterial small subunit ribosomal RNA", at positions 328 to 539 of the family's 1533-position model. The record is from RNAcentral.
ACGCUCGACACCUACGGGAGACAGCAGUCGGGAAUAUUGCGCAAUGGAGGGAACUCUGACGCAGUGACGCCGCGUAUAGGAAGAAGGUUUUCGGAUUGUAAACUAUUGUCGUUAGGGAAGAGAAAGGACAGUACCUAAGGAGGAAGCUCCGGCUAACUACGUGCCAGCAGCCGNGGUAAUCUGAGCGGGCUGGCAAGGC